GGCCAGGUAGCUCAGUCGGUAGAGCAGAGGACUGAAAAUCCUCGUGUCCACAGUUCGAUUCUGUGCCUGGCCACCA
This 76-nucleotide transfer RNA is filed under the name Gammaproteobacteria bacterium. RNAcentral describes it as "tRNA-Phe". It matches the Rfam family "tRNA". Rfam says of the family: Transfer RNA (tRNA) molecules are approximately 80 nucleotides in length. The record is from RNAcentral. Lineage: Bacteria; Pseudomonadati; Pseudomonadota; Gammaproteobacteria.